This 75-nucleotide antisense RNA is filed under the name Streptomyces sp. MBRL 601. Its description in RNAcentral is "ASpks sRNA". It matches the Rfam family "ASpks TB sRNA". Lineage: Bacteria; Bacillati; Actinomycetota; Actinomycetes; Kitasatosporales; Streptomycetaceae. The record is from RNAcentral.
CUUGACCGAGCCGAGCAGCAACGGACGGUCCUCGGGGCGGUCCUGGCCGUAGGUGGCGAGGAGCGCCUGGGCCUC